UAGCUUUCCCGAAUUAAAGAGAGCUAUAAUCUUAUAAAUUUAAUUGUGGCAUAAAUUUUUAUAAUAAGGUUAUGGUAGUGAAACGUUAUACGUUUUUUAUGAUAUCUGGUUUCUUAAGAAAUAAAUUUAAUUUAUUUUUUUGAAUUUAUGAGGCUGAUUUUUCUAGCUUUAUAGUUUGAAAAUUUUAUAAUCCUAGGGAUUAGCUUGGGAUUAGAAUUUUAUAAUUUUUUGAUUUUAUUAAAGGUUUGUAGGGUUGGAAAUGCUUUUCUUUAAUUUGUUAUAAUUAACCUUUGAUUUAAUAAGAUUUAUAUAUGUUGAUUUAAGUUUUAUAUUAAGAUUAUGAGUUUAAUGUUUUAUUUUAUGAAAUAAUGAUAAAAUUAGUAUAUUUGUUUGUAUUUUUAAGUUGUGUAUUAAGGUUAAGUUAAGGAACUCGGCAAAUGGAUUUUUCGCCUGUUUAUUAAAAACAUGUCUUUUUGAUUAUAAUUUAAAGUCUAACCUGCCCAAUGAGGAGUUAAAUGGCCGCGGUAAUUUGACCGUGCAAAGGUAGCAUAAUCAUUAGUUUUUUAAUUGGAAGCUGGUAUGAACGGUUGGACGAGAAAAUGACUGUCUCAAUUUAAUUGAUAAUAGAAUUUUAUUUAUAAGUAAAAAAGCUUAUAUGAGUUUAAAAGACGAGAAGACCCUAUAGAAUUUUAUAGUUGUACAUCUAUUUAACAGUUAGAAUUGAAUAAUUUGUUAGGUGUAGUGCUAUUUUGUUGGGGCGAUGGAAAAAUUGGUUAAACUUUUUUUGUGUUAUUUCAUUGAUUUAUGAGUGAUUGAUCCGUUUAUAACGAUUAUAAGAUAAAAUUACCUUAGGGAUAACAGCGUAAUUUUUUUUUAGAGUUCUUAUCGAAAGAAGAGUUUGCGACCUCGAUGUUGGAUUAAAAUUAACUUUUGGUGCAGGGGCUAAAAGGUUAGGUCUGUUCGACC
This 966-nucleotide ribosomal RNA is filed under the name Megasoma mars. RNAcentral describes it as "partial 16S ribosomal RNA". The stretch from base 417 to 617 matches the Rfam family "Archaeal large subunit ribosomal RNA", at positions 1797 to 2106 of the family's 2987-position model. The record is from RNAcentral. Lineage: Eukaryota; Metazoa; Arthropoda; Insecta; Coleoptera; Scarabaeidae.